This 568-nucleotide ribosomal RNA is filed under the name uncultured archaeon. RNAcentral's name for it is "bacterial SSU rRNA". It matches the Rfam family "Archaeal small subunit ribosomal RNA", at positions 431 to 999 of the family's 1478-position model. The record is from RNAcentral.
ACGAAUAAGGGGUGGGCAAGUCUGGUGUCAGCCGCCGCGGUAAUACCAGCACCUCGAGUGGUCAGGAGGUUUAUUGGGCCUAAAGCAUCCGUAGCCGGCUUUGCAAGUCUCCGGUUAAAUCCAACUGCUUAACAGAUGGGCUGCCGGAGAUACUACAAAGCUAGGGAGCGGGAGAGGCAGACGGUAUUCGGUGGGUAGGGGUAAAAUCCUUUGAUCCAUCGAGGACCACCAGUGGCGAAGGCGGUCUGCCAGAACGCGUUCGACGGUGAGGGAUGAAAGCUGGGGGAGCAAACCGGAUUAGAUACCCGGGUAGUCCCAGCUGUAAACGAUGCAAACUCGGUGAUGCAUUGGCUUAUGGCCAAUGCAGUGCCGCAGGGAAGCCGUUAAGUUUGCCGCCUGGGAAGUACGGACGCAAGUCUGAAACUUAAAGGAAUUGGCGGGGGAGCACCACAAGGGGUGAAGCCUGCGGUUCAAUUGGAGUCAACGCCUGGAAUCUUACCUGGGGAGACAGCAGAAUGAAGGUCAAGCUGAAGACUUUACCAGACAAGCUGAGAGGUAGUGCAUGGCC